This 73-nucleotide transfer RNA is filed under the name bacterium. RNAcentral describes it as "tRNA-Met". It matches the Rfam family "tRNA". Rfam says of the family: Transfer RNA (tRNA) molecules are approximately 80 nucleotides in length. Their secondary structure includes four short double-helical elements and three loops (D, anti-codon, and T loops). RNAcentral also lists the same sequence under 1 other name. The record is from RNAcentral.
GGCGGCGUAGCUCAGUUGGCAGAGCAGCGGAAUCAUAAUCCGCGUGUCGGGGGUUCGAUCCCCUCCGCCGCCA